This 2809-nucleotide long non-coding RNA is filed under the name Mytilus galloprovincialis (Mediterranean mussel). Lineage: Eukaryota; Metazoa; Mollusca; Bivalvia; Mytilida; Mytilidae. The record is from RNAcentral.
UGGGCUAAAGUAUAGGCUAUUAAUUUGGUGUCUACAUUUAGUAAAGUUAUAGGUCUAUAAUUGUCUAGGGAUAGCGGGUCAUUUUUUUUGUACAAUAAAGAUACUAUUCCUAUUUUUUGUAAUGUUGUUAAUUCUUCUUUCUCGUAACACCUAUUGAAAACUUCUACAGCUAGUUCUUUUAUAUUAUCCCAGAAUGUGCGAUAGAAUUCAACACUUAGACCAUCUAUACCUGGUGAUUUGUUUAGUUUCAUAUUAAAAAUGGCUUCUGUGCAUUCUUCUAUUGAGAUGCUGCCGCCUAGAGAGCUUUUCUCGUCAUCACUUAAUUUAUGAUCUAUUUUUUGUUUCUUCAACAUAUUGCUUAAUAUUAUUAACAUCUGGAUUUGUACUUUUAUAUAAAUUUUCAUAGUAACAUUUUUCUAAAUUUAAAAUUUCUGAUGGUUCUGUUAUAAUUUUGUCUUGCUUAUCUUUCAAUGCCGAAAUAUUUUUUUUUUGUUUGUCUUGAUUUUUCUAAACCUAAAAAGAAUUUUGUGUUUUUUUCCCCUUCUUCUAACCAUUUGACUCGAGAUCUUACUUGUGCACCUUUAACUUCAUCUUUAUAAAGAUUUUCUAGAUUUUUUUCAAUUUUUUCUAUUUCAUCUUUAGUUUCUUUUGAAGGAUUAAUUUUAUUAUUUAAUCUUUGUAAGUUCAUUUCUAAUUCUUUUAUUUUAUUUUUCUUUUCAGAUGACUUGUAUUUACAAUACAUAACAGUUAUGUCCCUUACUUCAGAUUUGAAGAUAUCCCAUAUAUCUCUUGAAUCUCUGGUAAGUGCCUUUUCUUUAUAUUUUAGAAUAAGAUUGUUUAUAUGGUUUUUUAUAAUUAUCAUCUAUUAAAAUACUAUUAUUUAUUUUAAAGAAACCUCUUCCUCUGCCAUGGUGAUUUUGUCUUAUUUUUUAACGAAAUGGCUUGGUGAUCAGUGUAUGAUAUCAUAGCAGGUCUUAUAUCAGAAUUGAUUACAUGUGGCCUUAUAUCUGGACUGAUCAAAAAGAAAUCUAUUCUGCUUGUUAUAUUCGUAUUGUUUUUCCUUCUCCAUGUAAAUUGAAUUUUGUUUGGAUUUAUUUCCCUCCAUAUAUCUAUUAAUUUGUGUUUUUUAAUGAGCUGCUGUUUAAGGCUAUUUACUGGUUUAUAGUAUUUAUGAGAGCUAUUUGAUUUCCUAUCUAUUUUUAAUAGGGUUUCAUUCAUGUCCCCUCCUAAAAUUAAAAUACCUAAUCGAUUAUUUUCUAUGAUGUUAUUUACCUUUUUGAAAAAUUUAUUUCUGUUAGUAUGAAUGUUUGGGGCAUAUACAUUUAUUAAGGUAAAAAUGUUAUCGUUAACUUCAAUGUUGAGCAAAAUAAUUCUGCCAUCAUUAUCUUUAACUUCAUUUAUUAGUUUAUAAUUUAAACUGUCUUUAAUCAUUAUUGAAACGCCUCUUGAUUGGGAACUUCCAUAGCUAUGAAAAAAUUUACCUUUUACUUCACUAUUAAUAAUAUGUUCAUUUUUCUCUAUUAGAUGGGAUUCUUGUAUAAAUAAUAUAUUACAUUUUUGAUGUUUAUUCCAUAUAAAUAUAAUCUCUCUCUUUUCUCUUUCUGUCCUAAACCUUGACAGUUUAAGGAUAUAAGAUGUAUAUUGUCACUCAUUGUUUUUACCUAAGGAAUAUUCAAUUUUAUACAUUAAAUAUAGCUGUACAAUUCUGGUUCUCAUAAUUAGUGUAAUAACCCACUUAAUAGUACAUGUUAAUGAGACUAUUAUUAGAACAACAUGUCUUAUUACAUUAUUUACAUGUUUGUAAAUACACAAGGUUAAAUGCACGGUUAACUUCUUUUUUUCAAAGACACAAUAUAGUAAUAAAAAUAUCAUUAUAAAAAAUAUAUUUGCAAGAAAUUACUAUUAUAACAGUAUAACAUAACAUAAAUAACGGGUUUGAUUAUGUUAACCCUUUUCGAGCUAAAUUUUGUUUGUUUACAUAUCAAUACUAUGUAUCUCAUACACGAAUAACAAAGCUUAAUUGUAUUUAAAUAUACAAAUGUAUCAUUCAAAUCACUGUUCACUUUUCCAAUAAUCAGGAAAGAUUCUAUCAUGAUUCUCUUUGAUCUCUGAAUUGUUUUAUCGAGUAAUCUAUUUUUAGAUACGGUGAAAACCCAGAAAUUUAGGGGUUUUUGGAAUCGGGUCAGCAUGCAUAUGAAUAUAACUGUAGUUAUACUGUUUUUAGUUAGGUAUGUCACAUGUAUGACGAUAAUGUAAAUUAAAAAGAGAAAGUAUUUUUGAACAAUUAAAAAUAGUUGCAGAUACAUGUUUACAUUAAUGAUUACAUUGAUUGACCUACUUAAAUAGUUGUUUAUUGAUGUGAGUGUUUGAUAUAAGCUAUUUUGUAAAAGAACAAACACAUAACUUUUAUUUACAUAUGUAUCAAUUCUUUUCAGGUAUUUUAGAGUGGUAGUUACCAUGGAUGUGGACGUAGCUUGUACAAAAAAUAUGUGAACUAUAUAGGAGGAACUAAUUUUCAGUUUUUGGAUACCUAAAGCAAUAGUGGUGUUUUUAAUAUGCCAAUCGUUGAAAUUGAUACUAUCUGUAUCCUGGUGAACUAAGUGAGAUAAUGUAUAUGGCAGAUCUUGAGCAGUUUUAAAGUUAUUCCUAGUACAUGUAUGUGAGGAAUUGACACAUUUAUUAACAUGGAUUUUAUAUUUCAAAGAAGUGAUUUCAUCAACUAAGUGAUAUGGAACGCAGCUAAAGUUAGUCAAUUUACCAAUCAAACUGACACCAUUCAGAUUGGGAUUUACAGGUGUUUUGAAUUGAU